This 508-nucleotide long non-coding RNA is filed under the name Elaeis guineensis (African oil palm). Its description in RNAcentral is "long non-coding RNA (EGUI_LNC042839)". Lineage: Eukaryota; Viridiplantae; Streptophyta; Magnoliopsida; Arecales; Arecaceae. The record is from RNAcentral.
GUGCAAGGGCUUCAAGAGUUGGCGCCUAAAAGGAUUACUAAAAGAAGUUGAAUAACUUAAGUUAUAAGAAAACCUAAUGCAUGUAGGACUUGUAUUAUGAGAUUGAAUAAGAUUCAAUCCUUAUGUCUAUUUAAAGAGACCUCCCCUAAGGUCCCUAGACAAUCAAAACCAGCACCCCAUGCCUCUCUUAGAACCCCCCACACCCUCUCUUCCUGUCCCUUUCUCUUCUCCCCUUGGACAUCCACACGUCCUAGCACUUGGGGCGUCCCUUCUUCCUCAUGCCCAAGGGCUAUCGAGCAUCCACUUGUUGCUGGUUCCUGAUGUUUGGUAGAAGUACAAAGCAAGAGAGAAAGGUAAGAGAAGAAGAGAAGAAAAAGAUCAAGAAAAGAGAUCAAGAGUUGAUCACGAUCCAAGCUUCGUUCAGAUUCAAUAGGCUGAAUUUUCUUAGAGAAAAAAAUUUAACUUGAAGAAAACUAUUUCAGACUGAUCUCGAGUGAAUACCCAUAGA